GAUGAACGCUGGCGGCGUGCCUAAUACAUGCAAGUCGAGCGAAUGACGAGAAGCUUGCUUCUCUGAUUUAGCGGCGGACGGGUGAGUAACACGUGGGCAACCUGCCCUACAGAUUGGGAUAACUCAGGGAAACCUGGGCUAAUACCGGAUAAUCCUUCGAAUCACAUGUUUUGAAGUUGAAAGGCGCUUCGGCGUCACUGUAGGAUGGGCCCGCGGUGCAUUAGCUAGUUGGUGGGGUAACGGCCUACCAAGGCAACGAUGCAUAGCCGACCGAAGAGGGUGACCGGCCACAUUGGGACGGAGACACGGCCCAAACUCCUACGGGAGGCAGCAGGAGGGAAUCUUCCACAAUGGACGAAAGUCUGAUGGAGCAACGCCGCGUGAGUGAUGAAGGUUUUCGGAUCGUAAAACUCUGUUGUAAGGGAAGAACAAGUACGUUAGGAAAUGAACGUACCUUGACGGUACCUUAUUAGAAAGCCACGGCUAACUACGUGCCAGCCGCCGCGGUAA
This 510-nucleotide ribosomal RNA is filed under the name uncultured bacterium. RNAcentral's name for it is "partial 16S ribosomal RNA". It matches the Rfam family "Bacterial small subunit ribosomal RNA", at positions 28 to 523 of the family's 1533-position model. The record is from RNAcentral.